GGAGGCACAGACCAAGAAUGAACAUGGCCAUACUCGCUAAAACCAUUAGCGAGAGAAGUAAUGAGAAAUUCCAGACUAACAACUGGACUAAAGAAGCUGAAAUAACAAGCUUAAAGUAAAAGAGAGUAAAAAGCCAAGUAGAACAAGGAAAGGAAAUGAUGUGUAAGCAGUACCACCUCCCAAAGAAAGCAUAUUCCCAACGAUCAAAGAUCGUCUACAAAGAAAAGCAUUUCACCUCCAAAAGGAUACUUUUCUUAAAAACAUCCAUAGCUGUCCAUCGACUCAACAAUUAGUCAAGCACUAGGAACAAGAAUCUAAAACCAAAUCAACUCGAGAAAAAGAAAGCAGAAAAUACAAAGAAGUCGGGAAUAGAAUUCCCAAAGCACAUAAUUAUUAACACCACUUCAACUCCAAAAGAUCAUAUCUCGAAAGCAAGAUCCGUUCUCUUAGACAACUUACCCAUACGAACAACACAAUCGAACACCGAUGAACACAGAACACCACAUCCUUCGUUCAACCAAAAAAAGCAAUUGCAUCUUGGAGUCGGUUCGUCAUCAAAACCACGGAUCGAAAACAUCCUUCACAAAGAAAAGAGACCAAAUUCCACGGGAAGAGACAGAUGGAGAGGCCCAGGCAGAGAAACAGAGGCAGGAGAAAAGAUCGGAUUUUUACGGUCUAGAUCAAAUCAGAUGGAGCAAGGCAACGACGGGGAACGCGCAGCACACAUCAAAGGCAGCAGAACAUCCACUGAUUCCCCCUGAAGUCUAGGAUGCGGCCGACUGACCCACAGUAGGGCGAUUGCUUCGUGUGCUCCUCCCUGUUCCUCUCCCCGAUCGAAGAUCAGAGUCCGAUUCGGAAAAUGGAAGCGAUCGGAGCACUUGUGUUCUUUGAAUCGGGAUCAAAUAUAGAUUAAGACCGCAGGGAAUCGAGGGGAAGAAUGGGAUGAGAUGAGGAAGAAGUGGGAAGAAAGGGGGGAACGAGAGGACCGAGAUGGGAAUGAGGUGGAGGACAAUUGCUGAGUUUUAUACGCAUGCCGCGACAGCCACGUCAGCGUUCGUAAUGAAGCUAAUGGAUCCAACGUCGGUUGACGGUUUCGGAUGAGGGUUUGGUUAUUAGUGAUCGGAAUCGGGUCGAACUGAGAUGAUCGGAAAAAUAAAAAUAAAAAUUAGAUUUUUGAUCGAAUCGAUUUAAUUAUUGAAUGAGUUAUGUUAAGAAUAAAAUGAAUCGGUCGACUCGACCGAUUUUUUUUUAUAGCCACGUAAGAAUCGAUUGAGAUAAAUAAAACUAAUUUGAUUUUGUAAAUAUAUUAGUAUUACUUAGAUUCCAUUAAUUUAAUUGUUUUAAUUUAUUUAAAAAUAUUUAUAUCAAUUUUGAAAUUAGGAUUAAUAUAAGAAAGUAAUAUCUCCCAUGCAAUCAAUUCUCUCUCUCAUUCUCCCUCCAUUCCUCAUUCUCCCUCCAUUCCUCAUCUCAUAUAGCAUAUAUUUUUUUAAUAAACUAAUAUCAAUUAUUUAUUCAAAAGGAUAUUUAUGUUAAUUUUAAAAUUAUGUUUAACUUAAGAUAGAAAAUGACCUCUUUGGUGCAUUUCUUCCUCCUAUCGUCUUUCUCUUUCUAAUAUUAUGAUUUUAUCAUUUGUAAGAUAGAGAGUGAAUUUGAUGUUUAUAAGACCUUAUGCUCACGAGAAAUUAUCUAUUUUGAGUGGAUCCAAAUAUUUUUUUUUUUGGUCAAGGGUGACUUUGGUACUUAUAGAAAUUAUAUCUUGAGUGUACUUACGAUAAAUUAUCUAUUUUAGAUGAACCUUACAUGAUUUACCAAAAGGGUCUCUUAGGAUAGAAUAUGACUAUAAACCUUACAUGAUUUGCCAAAAAGAUCUCUUAGGAUAGAAUAUGACUCUGAUGCUCAUAAGACCUUGCUCCUGAAAAAUCAUCUAUUUUGGAUAAGUCCUAAAAAGAACUUAUAAGAGUUAAGGUGAACUUAUAAGGGGUAAGGGUGACUUUAUUGUCUCAUGAAAACUAUUUACAUCGGGUGAGCCUCUCAUGGUUUUGCUGCUCCUCCUUUCGGGUGAGAUUUUGUGUUGUCUUCCCCAACACGAACACAUGAGGAAUUGUCUUCUUUCGAUAGAUCUUAUAUUGUUUUAUUUUGUUUAUAAUGUAUCCCAAAAAAGUGUAUUUUAAGGUUAGAUCAUGACUUUGACAUCUGUAAGAUCUAGAUUCAGUCGUAAACUGGGGUGAGGGAUGAAAAAGGUUUUGAACUCAUGCCAACAGAGAGUACUCGGGCCUUUGCUCAGUGAGGAACUCCUUGCCAUACGGACAAUGCAAGGUCUAAUAACGGGAUGAACUACUUCAUGUCAAGAUCGAACUCCUUGCUUUGACUACAGAGGCCAGUGACAAGUAGAGAACUUCUAAUAGUCGAACAUCAUCACACAGUAACAAAAUUUCUUAUCUUAUCACAGGUAAUGAGAUGCCAUUCAACAACGAUAAGUUCAAAGAGUUCUACGCUAACUAUCAGACUGAAGUAACAAAUCCUCAAGCUGUCCAAUUCUUCAAAUCCGAUCUUCGAAUCAGAAUAAGAAAAAGCACAUCAUCCUCUUGUGGUUCUUGUUUGCCCAAAGAGACCACCACUGAAAGAACUGCAGAACAACUGGUCGAGGAUCUUUGAUUACCAAAACAAGCAGCCUCAUGAGUAAAUACCAGCAGUUGCAGUAGCAAAAUCAUUCAAGAAAAUCCAAGGAGCUCUACAAGUAUCUAACAAUAAGAACUCUGGAAGUCAGAGGGCAGCCUAAAUCAUAUCAAACACGAGACUAGCUAGAGAUGCAAUGUCUGAAGCUGAUCUAAUGGCAAGAAUGCUACUGCAGGAUUAGCCAACGAACCUCAAGGCAAGAAUCAACUUGACCCAUUAAGUGGUGGUUUGUAUGAAAGUCUCACGGUAGAAUAAAUUACAGAUGGUUCAGCCAUUGCACCGUUUCCAUAAUCUCCGCAUGCCAACCUCUUGGUGACGGGAGGGAUGAGAUUAACACCAAGCUCGUUGAUUGCAUCUAGAUGGCGCUUUGUAAAGGGAUUAUUCCACAUGAAGGUGUUCAUAGCAGGAGCAACAAAUAUAGGCUUGCUGUAGUCCCAGGCUCGCACAAUACACGUCAGUAGGUUGUCACACAAUCCUCCUGCAAUCUAUACAACGAAGAGCAAAAACUUUAAGAAAAAGGUGAAAAAAAUAUAUAUUUGGCACACAAACUAUGUAGUCAAGUAAUCUUUGUACCUUCGCAAGAGUAUUUGCUGACAGUGGGGCAAUAACCAUGAUAUCAGCCCAUUUCCGAAGCUCAAUGUGCAAUACUCCAUCCCCAAUCUUCUUCCAACUAGACCAUUCAUCAUCGUCUGUAUAAAGGAUCACAUCCCUGGGGAAUGAUGCUUUAUCGAGAAAAUGCAAGGAUGAUUUGGUAGCAACUGCCCUAACUUCUGCCCACUCCAGAAAACUACGGCAUAAAAUCUCAAAUUUAAUAGCAGCAACACUUCCAGACACAGCCAAGAGGAUCCUUGGUUUAACAGGCUGAAUAUUGUCAUGCUUCAUAUUUUCUGAUGCUAUUUCGAUAUUAGCCAUCAUGCAUUCAACGCACUAGGAAAAAUUUCCUUCCACUGCAUAAAAAAUGAUGGUCAUCUUUUACAGAUUUCCACCAGGCAUUAUCAAAGGGCAAGGAAAUCCUAAGCAAGCAUCAUCUUUAAAAGAAAUCCAUAUAUAAAGUGAACCUUUUGUACUAGUACAGCUUCCCAAGAACAUGGUCAAAACAACUCCAACCAUGAGAAGACCAUCGCAUCCAAGCAGAAUGAUUCAAUAAACUGGAAGCUGGAAACAUUAACAUAACGUUAGUCCUUUGUACAGAAAAGCGAUUAUCAAAGAAGACAUAAAUUGCACGAAACUGACCGACCAACUAUAGCUAUGAGAAAUUAUUGAUGUUCGGGUAGGCUGAUACAAAUGCUUAUCUUUAAAAUGUGCUUUAGUUUGCUUGAAACAAUCGGUUUCAAUCUCUUAUCCAUGAGUGUGGAGAAACAGCUUAAGAUGAAGCUAUAAAUUAUAUAUUUACAUACUUAUAUGAAUGAGCAUGAAAGUCCAAUAACAACACCAACAACAAGGCUGUAAUGUCUCAACAUUUAGGGUUCUACCUAGAUCCUUUUGCCACCAUUGAGCUAUAUAAAAAAGCCAUAUCCUUAAUUAAAAUUUAAAUUUUUACUUAAUAGUUUUUAGUAAAAUGUUGUUAGGCCUGCCUCUAUCUCUCUUCUUACCAAUCAUUUCACCUCUUCUAACAACAAUAUCUAUGAGUCUUCUUAGGGCAUCUUAAACAAAUUUUCCAUGGAUUACACGUUUUUUAUGACGAAUAAGCACAAACAUAAUAAUUUAAUCUUUAAUAUUUUUAUCCUCACAAAACUAAAGAACACAAAAUUUUCAGCAACCCUAGUUUCAGAACUUCCAUCAAUCUAGUUUUGGAUCGUCCAUCCCUCUCCCCGGUGUGGUUUCUUCAUAGGCCAAUUCGCGAUCAGUGAUCCGUUACUCAGUAUUUUCCGGUUGCCGCCCAAUGUCUAAGCCCCCUUUACCGUCGCGGGCGAUUUCCAGCAACCGGAUUGGGAGAUGAAGAAGCAAUGGGAGGAGAGGUGAAGAGACAGAGAGGGGACAAGUACGAAUUAAAUAUUACGACAGCGCGCCGAAGAUCAAAAGCUAACCUCUCGCCGGUGUGCUCGCCGAAUACCACCGCUGCUUCGACGCUCACCGCAGACGAUAAGAAGGGAUCGUGAGAGAGAGAGCUUAUAUAAUGGACAGACAUGAGGGUAAUUUAGUCAUUUUACAUGUAGACGGAAAUUAAACGGCGACGAAACAGCACCAUCUCGUCCCCAAAUUCCUCCGCUAUUCACCCUCAGCCUUUGGCCACCGCCGCCGCCCCCCUCGAUCGCUUCAUCCCCGGCGGUAACCCACUCGCCACCGUGCCGCCCCCCACGUCUCCGCGGUCCAGUCCUGCUUCCAUUCUUCUACUUCGCCAAAUUGAGUGAUGGGUUUAAUCAUAUGUUAUGAUUGCAAUCCAUAGCCAGCUCAAGUCAGAUUCAAUUCAAAGAUCGAUUCGGCUCGGUUCGAGUCUGACUCACCGACGGGUCGAGUCGUGGAAUAGGAAAAGCCUUAUGGGUAAUUACGGACCGAUCAAGCCCACAUAAGCAACUAUAUUACCCGACCCAACCUGAUCGAUAACAGCAGCAGAACACCAUGGCGUCGUUUGGGUUGGGAAAGAUGAGCGACUUCCUUCUGCCGACGCUGUCGCGGAAGCGCGACGUGGACUGCAUCAUCCGCGACACCCUCGACAAGGUCCUCGUCCUCCGCUUCGGCCGCGCCGCCGACCCUCUGUGCCUCCACUUCGACGAAAUCGUACGCUGCGCCCCUCUCCUCCCAUAUCUUGUACUUCGUCUUCUCGGUGCUUGGCGAAGCCUCUGAUCUCGUGUGGCCUUCUGGCGCGCAGCUCUCCAAGACGUCUCGUGAGGUCUCUAAGUUCGCGACGAUCGCGCUGGUGGACGUCGACUCCGAGGAGAUUCAGGUCUACGUCAAGUACUUCGAUAUCACCUUGGUACCCUCCACCGUCUUCUUCUUCAAUGCUCAUCAUAUGAAGAUGGACUCCGGGUAAUUCAAUUACAUCCCUAGAUGAACAUCUUGUUUCUGUCAUCAACUCUCUUUAUGUCUUGCCCGGUUCUGCGUUUCGUAGGAAAUUUUAACCUUCCGCUUAGGUAAUUUCUUUUUGCCCUAAAUAUUUGAUUUGAUAUGUAGGUUUCUGCAAGUACGAAGGCUGUAAUUUAUUAGGGCAUGCACAAGAUGUCACCCUUUCUACGAUAUCUUAUUUAUUUUGCCCUAAAUUUUAGUGGUAAAUUUUCCUUGACAUGAAUACUUGUCACAAGGAUGUUUAGAAUUAUUAGGUGUAGUCGAUAUGUCUUAUAAAUUAGUGGCCUGUAGAUAAAAGUCCGCUAAUUUGACAUUUGACAUGUUAUUACGAUGAUUGUAGAGAAUAGCAAAUGCAAUAGUAGCAUCAUCUCCUCUGUUUCACAUCGUAGCCUGAUUGGAUAUCCUAAAAUUUCAUCCGAAGCUGAACCUUAUUAAUUAUCUAGGUAUCUGAACUGAAACCAUAUACGGGUUACCUACAUUUAUACCGAACUCAUCCCAAACCCUAUCGAAGGAAACCCUAUCUAAGGGUACCAGAACCUUGUUUUGCUCGGUUGGGUAUAUUUGGAUGCUCAAAAGAACCCAACCUACUAAGCUGAACCUAGAAGUAACAUUAGGUUAGGCUACUUGCUAAUCCAACCAGUCUGUCUACCUAUGUACCUGAACCCGACUGGAGCACAUUCAUCCUCACCUGAACCUGUUUCCUAGCUGAUUAAAGGGUAAACAAGUUCAUUAUAAGCGGAUCAAGUAGACCAAGGUGCAAAAAAAAUAAUAAUAAUAAAUAAAUACCUCUGCCAUCCCAAAUUAUGGCUCCCCUCUCUUCUCCUUUCCCGCUUUUUUACUCUCCCCUCUUCUUUUUUGUCUUUUGAGGCUGUCAGAUUGGCUGGAAUUGGUCAAAACUGGCCAACUCUGGUAGUGAUUUGUAGAUUCUAGUCAAAAUCCACUGACUUAUUACUAUAAACUGGGAAGUCAACAAAAAUUGGAGUGGCCUUUGACGAUAAUGAUAUGGAUUCUAUUCCUUUUUAUAGUGAUUUAGUUCUAUUCUUUAAUGACUAUUUUCACCUUAAAUGUAACUUGAUUAGUGAAUUUUUCGGCCAUGUGUCUCUUGGUAAACUGUAUUUUUUAUUGUAUUCAGGACUGCUGAUCAUACUAAGUGGGUUGGAUCUUUUCAUAGCAAACAAGACUUAAUCGAUGUUGUUGAGGUGAGUGCCAUGCUCCUCACUUGGAAGGUCCUUUUUCUGAAUUAAAUAUAUUAUAUUCAGUUUCAUCUACUGAAUUCAUUAAGCUUAAGAUGAUGCUACAUGAUAGGUUAGUCUUAAUAUCAGUAGAACAAAAGCUAGAAGAUUUUUUUUUUUCAUUUCAUAAUUUGAGAAUACAGUUACGUAGUUUGAUUUUGGACGUCCGAGAUACUUAUUCUUUCUUGGAUUGUAUGGGAAAAAAAAAAUGGAACUGAAUGACUUCUGUAGCAAAGUUUGUAGAACUUAGAUAAUUUUUUGUGUCUGUAAGAAAUGAAGAUGUCCUUUUUGAUGAAUAAGUAGGAAUUAUCCCUUGUCACUGAGACUUUAUCAUCAGAUCUUCCUAAUCUAGUUAGCUGGCUUCCAAAUGCAAUUAUCUUCAUCCAUGAUUACCAGUAUAGUUGGUCUGUUAUAUUGGUUUUUCUCUUCUGGUAAUAUUUUUCGCAAGAGAUUAAACCUGUCAUCAAGGCUCAUAUGAUCAAGAAUGGGAUUGGGAUUAGCUAACUGCAUUAUGAUUGAGAUUCAUUACAUCUGAUCAGUUGGAGCAGGAUAAAUUGAGAGAAUAAUUUAAACAUGAAAAGUGUAGAAAUUAUAAAAAUAACAAAGUCUGGAAAACAAAAUAUAAAAAAAUGAUAGUUUUUCGAAAGAGUAAAACAAUAUGUUUUAUGUAAAGCCACAGUUGUCAGUUUCUAAUUUCUUUGACUUGGCCAUAUCUUCUUAAUUUAAUAUGAAUAGCUGCACAUUGUAUUCCUGAACUUCUUAUGUAUGAAAAUGUGAAAAUAUCUGUCUAUGUACCAGCUUAUGCAAUCUGGGGGUGAUUCCAUGGGAUGGGCUGCAUAUCAUACAUAGAUGAUUGAACCUUAGAAGUUUACCUUAUGGAUAUGCAUAUGAUACCUUAGAAAUGAUGGGGGAUAAUAUAUCUGAACUGGAUGUCUUCAUUUUAGAAUAAGACUGCUAUCUGCUGAUGUCGCCACCCUCAUCUACCAACACAGUUGACUGUUACCUGAGUACGGAGGAUGACCUUUAGAAUUGCUCUAGGCAUAACCUUUUUUUACAUGAUAUAUAAUUCACCAUCUAACUCAUACAUUAACAUUCUGACUAUCUUUCAAAACACAACAACAGAAAGUUCUAAUAUUUUGAUCAACAUAAACCAACUACUAAGUGCUCAAGAAUUUAGUGGCGAUGUGUAUCUCAUCGUUCAACCAACAUUUCUGGACAGUGGAGGGACCAUCUGUUUUUGGGGUAUAUUCUGUAUAUUUAACUCCCAACUGAUUUGAUGAAAUCGUAUUUGAACUUGCUUUUGGUCUGGUUGAAAAUUUGCAGAACUUUGUAGAACUUUGUGUUUUUUUUUUCAAAGAAAGGCAAAUUAGAGAAACUUAGAAAACAAACUUAUAAAAUAUCCGGAGUUUCUCUAGUCCAAAAAAAUAGCAGAUACAUUCUGUCUAGCAUAAUUAGCAAGAUUGUGAGCCUUGUUAAGGUCUCUUGGGAUGUAACUCCAGUUGGAAACCUUCACUGUCUUAGCUAGAUGGAGGAUGUCUUUGCAUAGAAACCUUCACUGAUCUCACCCAGAUUUGAGUAAAUCCAAGUUGUAGUGCACAUUGAAGCCCCACUUAACUGCCAAUCAUUCUGCUUGGAAAGCAUCAGAAAGUCAUCUAUGGUUGCACCUCCUGCAACAAUAAUACCCUCAAGUCACUAAAAACAAAAUGUGUGUGUAGAACUUUGUUAUUUGAAUAGUUUCUGCCGAUUUCUAUAGCCAAAGUCUAGCUCUAGUUAAGAAUAUUAUUCAAUAUUCAGUAGCAUGCUGUAACAUCCGACUAAAAAGGACCCAAGCUUCCAUCUACCUUAAAUUUCUUCCCUUUUCAUGUUUCCUUUUUCUUUCUUUGUUCACUUUUACAAGUUCUCGAGGCUGUUUGCUUUACCUUUCGGCAUGCUGUUCUCAUCUGGUAAGUUUAUCCUCUUCAAAAGUUUCUUUUCCCUACCCGAAAAAGAAAUAUCUCUCUCCAAGUAGCCAUCCUACCCAGAAUGAAACUUGCAGUUAGAAAUUUUACUUGUUGAGUCAUCAAUAGUUCCUUCUUCUCACUAAUGUUUGUUAUCUAGCAGCAGUCUAUAAUGUAAUAUUAUUAUGAUGCCUCUUUAUAAUAAAUAGAUUCUCCCAAAAGAAGCCAUAUAACCUUUAUAUUUUGUUGCCUCUCGUAGGCUAUAUUUAGAGGGGCGAUGAAAGGCAAGCUGAUCGUUAGCUGUCCACUUCCACCAGAGAGGAUACCCAGAUUUCAGCUGCUCUUCAAGGACGUGUAGGGAUGAGCUGGAAGGUGGACGUGAUAGUGUGUCGAAGGGGAUGACAUAAUGACUCUUGGUAUUCAUCCUCUUAACGGUUCUUUUAGUAGCUUCUAAUCAAGUGUCAAAUGCACAUGAAUCAUUGUGUCAAAUGACAUGUUCAAGCAUUCUAAAAUCCCUUGGAUCGAUCAUUUUCCUGUAAGCUGUGUACAUAUAUUAUUUUGCUUCAUUGCAUACAAAUACGAGCAUUAUUUGCUUCAUUCAGUGUUAGAUACAAAUUUGGAAAAACAUUACUUGAAAUACAAAUUUGCUUUGUUAUGGAAAUAUAGUUAUUUGCUAUCUCCAUGCACCAAUUUUACUCUAUGGAUUCUUAAUCUAAUGAUUUAAGCUUGUUCGACUUAGUGGAGUCUGAUCUCCCCCCAUCUCAUCUUCUAACCUUCUCACUGUCCUUCAUUCCUUACAGAUGAAACCAGUAAACAAUUUUUUCUCCCACUCCUCAUCACAUGCAUGUAAUACGAUUAAAGCAAGCCAUCUAAGUUUUCUUCCUCUCUUCUUUUUUUUUUGGUCUGGGUAACAAGUAAUACGAUUAAAGCAAUGAUAAUAACCAAAUGCAGAUAGAAGCAUGCUACAGUAUCCAGGACUCAAUUAUCAAAAGAAAACGUGAUUUGUCAUCAAGAAGAACUUGCAAGUUGCAAGACACUGUCAAGUCCCUUGACUUCAACCAACACAAGCACAAUCUAAUUCAAACGCCAUGUGAGGAACUCGGAAGACAACCAAUUUUGUCUUUGGCUUACCCUUGGCCAAUGAGAACACUGCUUUUAAUCAAAAGCCUCUUGAAUAGAGCGUUGAAACAACAGUUUUCUUCCACCCAAGCCUCCAAAUUAGACUGCAUAAAGAGCGCAGUCCGAACAAACGCAUUUCUUGAGGCCAACUGUGGUGGAUGAUGCUGCAAGUAAUAAGCCCACUAGCUUUCAUUUCCAGUCUGGUCUUCACACGCACCUGCAUUAAAAGGCAUCAAUAGAAGCUUGGAAUACAACCAUUCUUCCCCAGAAGGGCGAGAAAUACUGGCCAACUACACCAGUAAAGGUUGUCCAUGAAAAGCAUCUUAAAUGAAGGCACUAGUCAUAAGAAAAAACCAGAUGUAUUAAGCAUUUUUAUGUGAAAACAACUGCUAAAAUUUACGAUACUAAAUAAUUAAAACACUAAAUAACAUUUGUGAGCAGCUUCCUCUGAAUCUACUUAUGAGAUGGAACAGAAUAGUAAGCGGUAGCUGUUAGUCAACGACAGACAUAUUAAGAAUUGAAAGUUCUCGCUAUGCAAAUCCAAAAAUAGUUUCUAAUAUUUUGCAUGAUAACCCAUUAAAAGUGACCACCGGGAAGCCGUGGGAAGCAACUUACUUGAUUGCUUCGUGACAAACACAAUCACUGCUAGAUCAUGAAUCCAUGAAUCUUCAUGAGAUGUCAAAGAACAGAAGCAAUAAACGCAUCAAACAUCAUGAGGAAGCAAAUGAAACCAUGAAACUCACAUUCCAUACAAUUAUGUUAAUUUCCUGAAAUGUAAUAGAUGAUGUGGAUGCACUAAAAUGAGAGAUAAGCAUCAAAAGUUGCAAGGAUAUUCUUGUUUGAAAAAUGAGAAUAAGAAGCCUGCAUUUUCUUGAAAAAAGUAAUCGGUGAUCCCUUAAAAUGCUAUAGUUCUCAUCACCUGGAGCAAUUAAAUCUCUUGAGAGAAUCUACAUGAACUCUUCUGAUAAUAACAAUGCUAUUAAGCUUCUGCUCCAAACAUCUAGUACGUAAGUUACGGAUAAUCUAAAGCUAUAUUUAGAUAAAACCUACACAAGUAGGUUGGAUAAUUACACUGUAUAUAGGAAAAUAUUAACAGAAUUAGCUUUGAAGAUUUUGUUUCAUGCAUGACUUAAUAAGCUCCCAACAACACAACUAUGAAGUUAUCCACCAACUAUGAAAUAUGCAAUCAAAUAGAUAGAAAAUUAGUUCAGAAAGGUUUUACUCUUAGGCAUCCAAUUUACAAUGUAUGAGAUUAAUAAGCUACACAAAACCUAAAGUCAUCCAUCAAAAAUUCUAUUUUCUUCCACAGAAUAAAUGGUUCAAAUCCUGAUAAAUGGUGGUUCAGCAUAAAUGAAAGCUAAUAUGAGUGGAGACCAUUUAAAAGGUAAACAUAUAUGGCAGUAAUACAAAAUUCAAUCUGAGAACGGUGUUGUUUUAUUUUUUUUCCAAGUACCAAGAUCAAACAGAACUACUACAUCUGAAAAUAAUCUUUUGGGUGAACAGAUUAAGCCUGUAUUCAAAUGGUUUAACUACUGCGAUCAGUAUGUCACAACACUACAAAACAGAUCAAGAAUGGGUUCAAUUGAAGAUGUAAAAGGACAACAAUUGGAAAGGCGAAAGCUUUAUACCCUAGAUCUUGAUGAUCUUGGCAGCUUUGACCACAGGAUUAGCCUUAGCAAUCUCCUCCCUCCCCAACGCCUUGUAAUCGAAUGAGCAAUCAUGAGUGUCGGAAUACCGGUGGCGACCGCAGAAGAGAUCCCCGCAUCGGCACCGGAAUCCGGUCAGCCCCACCUUUCUCCCGCAAGUGGAGCACCCGUUGAUGAAUUUUACCUGCGGUUUGGAUUCCUCCUCAGGCUUCGACUCCUUGUCGGUCUUGGGCGUGGUAGAUGCCGCGACGGCGGUCUCCGUAGCCGUAGUCUCCGCUCUCGGGUUCGGUGAUUGCUCGCAAGGUUUCAAGAACAGAGACGGGGGUAACGGGGACGAUGAUGGAGGAGCGGGAGUCGACGGGGAAGGGGAGGAAGGUUUGAGGAUUUCGGCUUCGUCUUUGUCAAGAUUACAACUUUCUCGAGCCAUUUGAUGCACUGGAACAGAUGCGAACACAAGCAGAUCGAGGAUAUUGGAGCCGAACAGGAUUAAGAACUAAGAAUAAGUUUCAAGGAUCGAUAAAAGAGGGAUAUCUGAAGUCUCCAAUCGACGUGAUGGGUGAAAAAAAGAGGUUUUCAGGACGGAUUCAUAAGAAAUCAAAUAAAAUUCGAUCUCAACCCUCAAAAAGGGACGAAUUUUCCAACAAAAAAAGCGCAAAAAAUCAGUAGUCAGGAGGGACUAAAUCUGCAGCGGAUCGAUCAGGAUGUAAGCUUCGUUGAACGCGAAAUCGAAUCGGAGACAGGAUGAGGCUGUCAGAGAUUUUUCCCCAUGCUUCCUAGGAAUCAAGUUCGAAGGGCAGCAACAACCGAGAAGAUGAUCAGAAAGAGGGGAACCCUGAUCGAUCCGAUCGAGGAAGUGGCGAAACAAUCGGUGGAAACAGGGGAAGAUGAAGGAAAAGUAAAGGUGGGAACUUCGGAGGCGGUGGAGGAAAAGGACGAAUAAAUGGGAAUACAUCCGUCGCAAUACAAAUGAUAAGGCGAUUAAAAUAAAGCAAAAUGGUCGAAAUAAUCUUCGUGUCCAAGCGAAAUUCCACGCUGUAAUAUUCUUUUCUUUUCCGCAACACAUUUCAGUCAACUUAAAUUAGAUUAAAAAUAUUUAUUAAUUAAUUUUUGAAAAAGACUUUCCCAAUAUCCCGAUUCAACUCAGAACGGAUCGAGUCUCAGCGACCGCCUGAUUCAACUCAGAUCGGGUCGAGUCUGAGUCGAGCUGAUUUGUCCUCUGGUCCGAUUGAACCACAUGGCUCAACCUUCAACCCAAACCACCACCCCAACCCAACCCCACGCGCACCCGUGCUCUAAACGCAGCCUCUCUUUCUCCCCAUCGACUGCGGCAGUGCGGCUUAGCCUCGGUGCACGGUGACUGAUUUCGUCUCCAUCGGCGAACGGCGGCAGCUUCUUCCCCUCCCGUUAUCUCUCCCUCUCCUUCUCGUCCUCCUCCUUCGCCGUCGCACACUCCCUUCUCCGCCCUCCUUCCUCUUCCCCUCCGUCGUCACAGCUCCGUCUCGACCGGAAUCCGGUCAGCCCAGCGCCUUUGACGACACUGGGCAGGAGGGGAAUCCUUCCAUUUCUCCGUGCCGUAACAUUCGUGCUUGAUGCUUAUCCCUUGAUCAACAGUAGAAGACUCGAGAAUCUGUCAUCGUCGGGCCUUCGAGGAUUAAAAGAAAAUCCCAUCGAUCGCAAAGACGAAGCGCGAGGACUGUUUUGGCCAUGGAAGAGGGAGCGAAGGGCGGUAGCGAAAGCUCAGGGCUCGAAACCCUAGUCCUUGAGAAGGUUGGGGAGGUCUCAUCCGCGAUCGAUGCCGCGAAGCACGUCGACGAAGUGAUCUGCGCCCUCUACUCCCUUGCUGUCCGCAUAUUUCCCGUCGACUACUCUGCCCUUUGCGGUUCGAUUUCGGAUCCUUCACGUCUCUUUCUCUUGGAAUGGGUCUUUUUGUCGUACUUUUUCUGUCGUAGUGUCACUUAUUUGUUGAAUGAUAGAUGGAUUUGCACUGAAAAGGAAAAAAAAACUUAGGAGCUUAUGAUUGGGGGAGGCAUCUGAAUUUUUUGACGUGUCUGAAAAUUUAUUUAUUUUCUUAAAACAAAACGGCUCAUUGCAAUAUUUGGUUACUUUGCAGAUACCAUCGAUCCUGCUCAGAGAAGCAAGGUACUACUCUGGUCCACAAUGCUACUUGGUUUGAUAUCUCACACAGAGGAGGUUCUUAACGUUUUGUGUUAUCUAUUUAUGCAACUACAAUAGUGUCCACAAGAAAAUUCUGAACUUGAUGUGAAAAAUAAAUAAUGUAAAGAUGGUUGUAAUUCUAAUUAAAGGUGAGAUAAUGCCUGGAAUCGAAAACAUAGAUGCAGAGAAGAAGAAUUCAUUGAUAAGAAAAAGGUGCUAGGGUGAACAUCCAGCUAAAGAUUGAAAACUAAAAGAGUGGCUCAGUGCCCAAGGCCUUGUGCACUGGUGUACACCUGUGGAUUUUCAAUUUAAGGGGUGUUUCUUCUCAGGGACUUUCGAGUUAAAUUUUAUUUUGAACAAGAACUUAUGCUAUAUACAAUCCCUGACAUUCAAUUCCAACAAUUAUCUAUAUUUAGUUUAGUAGCAGUUGUAUAAGGUCCCCUAAAAUCAUGUUUGUUUGCUAUGCACUUAUAUACUUACAAACAUGUAGUUGUCAUCAUUUAUGAAUAAAUUCUCUCUUCCUGGAACUUGCGAUGGCUGGAAUGAAUGAUCCAUUUUGCAUAUCUUGAAACCUGUUCAAAGAUCCUGUACACCCCGUUGUAGUAAACUAGCAUGUCCUCAACAUAGAGUUGAACUCAGAUUAUGAAUCUUCUUUUACUUGCAUUCAAUUUAGUAAAGUUGCUUACUUGCAUGAAUAUGUAGUUUGGGACACUCUUCAUGGCUUAAUUUUUGGGUGUAUUGCUUUAGAUAUCACUACAUCCUUUGAAUGUUAGAAGUGUUCUUUGCCUGAUUAUUGGUUGAAGCAUUAACCAUCCUUUGUUUUCUUACUUUUACACAAAUCUUUUGAUUACAGAUGAUUCUUUUUUUGUCUAUCAUCCAUAUUUAUUAUUUUGAAAGGAUUAUAUGAAUAAACAUACUAUGCAUGCUUUAAUCUCCAAUAUUAGACUGAGCUCACGAUUUUGAGAUUUGAUCCACUUCGAGUGUCCAUUUUUUUUGUUUUAUGUGUGGGGGUUCAGUGAUGGGUGUCACAUGGUGCUUACAGUCCACAAAUAACCCUUACCAUAAUAGUAACUUGUGGCUGACUAGAUCCAUGCCUUACCAUGUUAGCAUGAGGCAUUCUGGAAGAAGCUGCACUGUCCUUACUAAGCGUGGAGAACUGUAUCUAGUAUUUCAGCUGCUACAAAAUUUUGAAAAUCCUGAAGUUAAGUGUUAUGUUUUUGCUUCCAGUUGAGAGAAUCAGCCUAAUCUAGUUGACUUUGAUUGACAUCAAACCCUUCCUGCUAAUAAUAUGGUCAAGAAAUCGGUCAAAAUUGGAUCAACCUUGGAUGCUAUUGAUACAUAUCAGAUGUGUUGUAUCAAAAUUACCACAAACCGAGGUCUUCUUAUUUUGUUUACCACUGUUUUUCAGGUACAUGAGAUACUAUCUCCUGCCCCUGCUGAAAGCGGUGAAUGGAGGCAGGCUUUCUACUAUGGACCUGCGUUUCCAACCUUGGCUAGGAUAUUGAUCUAUAGUAAGUUUCAUUCUUUAGUUGAAACAUCUUUAUUGUGAUAAGAUAUGCUGGAUCUAAUAGAGUUUUCUCUAAGUUGACACAUAUUUCUAUAUGUAAAUAUAUGAAUUAUAUGUCAAUUUUUUCCUAUGAUACCAUAUGACUAAUGCUAUCUUCAAAUUUUCAAAUCCCAUGGUUGUCCGUAUAUACUGAUUUUUAUGGUUCUAACAUGUGUAUGUACUGAUUUAUCACUAAUCUUGUGUUCAACUUUUUCCUCUCUUUUUUUCAUUCCUUUAUCUACGAAGAAAGCAGGAAAAAAUAAACUUCUUCCGCCCCUUUUUUCCUUCAUUCUCUCCUCCUCAUUUGUUCUCAGGCUUGGCUGCACCCUUCCAGAUUGCCUCCCCUUCUCUCAUCAUUCUCAUUCCAUUCUCGGAUGGGGCUAGUUGGGUCUGGGAAUCAGCAACUUUGCUUCCUCAUCCCUUCCUCUUGCAUCCUUUUUCUCUCUUUUCAUUUUCCUUUCUAGUUUAUUAUCUGACAAUUGGAACUGUCUGAAUUGGUCAAGAUGUCCAAUUCUGUUAGAGAUCUGUUGAUGUUGAUCAAUUCUGGCUUUUGGCAUUGAAGUGGGCAAAACGAUCUAAAUCAGGUUGGCUGAUUUGGUGAGCCAUGCUUGUCUGCUAAACUGAAAAUUAAGGUGUAUAUGUGCAAACAUGAACCUUUAGAAUGAUGCAUCCAAAUACUUUUUUAAUAACUAGCAUUUGAUUUGUGAAUGUGAUAUAUUCUUUAGUAAUUAUAAUUCAUAUCUCCAUUCGGAAAAAUAGACUGCAACAAUUUUAUUGUAAGAACUUGUUCUUCAUUGAAAAGCCUGUGCGAGUGCAUGCUAUUAAAAAUGCAGAAUUAAUUUGAGCUGAUGGUAACAUUCUUUGUAAAGAAAGUAGCUUUAGAUGACUGGCACACGUUUUAGUAAAAGGUUUUCUAAGUGCUUGAUAAUUGUCAUAUCUAAUGUGCAGAUGUUGCAAAAGACUGGCUUGCAUGCUUUUCUUCAUCUACGAAGAAGCAGGUUUAUGAUUCAUUUUUCGUUCAAGGACCUCCAACUGAAAUAGUACAGGUCCUUGUUCCUGCUUUGGUGCACGGUUAUGAUGAUGCUAUCUACUCGAAUAUUGAGAGGUACUUACUGUACCAUCUGAUUGAUGCCACAAUUAAGUUGAUUUUGGUACUUUGGAGCAGUAUGAAAGUUAUUUUACAGCAGAGUUAAUUAAGAUUGUGCCUCAUUUAGCAACAAUGGUGACUGCAAUAAUAAAUCAUGUUAGUGCGUCACAACAAAUGUACUUCCUAGAUCAUAUUACUCGUCAAACCUCUUUUAACAUACCAUGAUUUUGGCCUUAUUUGACCAAAUCAUUUGAGGAAUCCUUAGCUAUUACUUAUAUUUGGUGGUAGUAUGAGAAUCCAGAUGUCAUGAAAAAUCAUUAGAAACUUUAGUUUUUAUUGGUACAUGAUAAGAUGUGUAUGUGAUCAACCAUAUAUAAUGCUCUUGUUUAUCUAGAUCUUGAUAUGCUGAUUAUACUGAUUUAAUACUGAGCAUAGUUAUCGGGAUCAGAUCGAACCAAGUGGUGGUGCUGGAAAAACCGGGAACCGGACCAUUAACCAAUCCAAUUCAAUUAUUGGAAUGGAUAUGUUCAAAAACGGGAAUGAACCGAUUAACCCGGUUGGAUUUUGGAUAACCAAUAUAAAACCGACUGACCGAGUACAUAAAACCGAUCCAAAUUACUUAAAUACCCUUAAACUUUUUUAUUAUUUAUUCGAGAGGGUAUUUGAAAUUAGGGUUAACCUUAUUUAAAUAUGACAGAUGAUACUCUCAAUCUUGAUGAGAUUUUAAUGAUAUCAAAAAGAAGAUAAGGGAGAUGAAAUUAGAGCACGCUAUAUAAGAAGAAUUUGAUUUGAGGACAAAUAAAAAUGAGGAGAACGAAAAAAAUAUUGGAACAGAUAAAAAUGAGUUCGAAAAUUUAGAUUAUAAUACAAAAAUUUACUACAUGGGUUAGAAUUAUCAUGGCAUAUUGAUGACUAAAAAGUUUCCAUCUAAUCAUGAAUUCAUGAUAAUUAUGUUGGAUAAACUAUUUCUUAUAUAUCAUUGAACAAUUGAUUUUAGAUUGGAUUAAUGUAAUCACGACCAAGAUUUUUUCAUGUGUUAUUUGAUCUGGAUAAUGUUUAUAACUUUAUAUACACAAUGUUGCUUGAUAUUAUCAUUCCACAUCUUCUAUCUAUUUUUUAAUUAGUUUUAAUAUUUUAGAUUUUUACUAUAUAUAAUUUUAAAUUGUUUAAUAUAUUUUAAAAUAUUUUUAAUUUAAACAUGUGGUUCGACCAAUUGAUCCACCGGUUCAACCAAUGACCCAGAGAACCAAGUCCUUGAGAUUCAUAGAUCAUUUGCUUCGAUAUUGGUUUAUGUUUUCACCUCAUUACUAAUCGUUCUUCUGUUGUAUUAUUCUAUUUUUCUAAAACAAGGACUAUGAUAAUAUAAUUUUAGUUAAAUACACCUUUUUGUAUUACUUAUACUUAUCACUUGCAUAAUUUCUUUAUGAGUAACAAACUAUCAAUAUUAUCAGAUAAGUUGAUAAUUUAAUCAUAGCAUAAUUUAGCUUCUUCUUCUUUUUUUAAAUCUAUCCAUUGUUUUCGCUGCAGAUGCACUAGGUGAUACUUAGACCACUUGCAUAUCAUGGUUGUUUUUGGAAGAUUUGAAUAUAACCAUUAACAGUCAACCACCGUUUGAUGAUCAGCACGUUCUAUCAUGGUUCAAAAAUUUGAUCAGUCAAUGUUUGUUAGUUGAUGUGUUUUGAUGAUCAACUUUUGCUAUUCAUCUAUUGUUUGACUUUCAAUUAUCAAAUUGUCAUUGGUGAUUGAUGAUUGCCAUUCAACAGGAUAGACUGUCCAAUGACUAUCACUUACUGAUUGGUCAUCUGCUGGCAAUCAACAAUCAUCUAUUGACAGCUUGUUGAUACUUGGUGAUCAUUAACUGAUGGUUGUUGGUAUGCUGAAGAUUAUUGACUGAAUAUAUAGUAUGUUUUUGGUCAUUUAUCAUCAUGGUCUAUUGGAUAAUUGAUGAUUAGUGAUCAUCAAUCUGACUGCUGGUUUGACUGUUAUUGGAAAUGUCUGUCAAUUUGUUAAAGAACAAAAGAUUACCGACUUGGUCUAUGCGAGCAACGGCUGUCAUAAUGAUUUCCUUCAUCACUUACACACUUUCGGAAUUUUAAGCUGUCACUUACGUGGCAAAUGUACAGGAUCAUAUAGCCAUGGCCAAUCCCUUGUCUCACCACUCCAUCUAUCCAUCUCUCAUUAUAAUUUGAUAUGAUUUCUAGUGACUAUAUCAAUAUUGGAUCUUUACUGACUGUAAAUGAUGUGUACUAACUUGUUAGUUAAAUAUAACCCAAUAUCCAGACUAACCUAACAGAUUUUGUUCUUGUGGUGUUCAUUAUAUUUCUUAUCAUUUCCUUUCUAUGUGUAAAGCAGGCAGCAUUUAUCUUUUCCUCUACUAUGUAUAUUACAGGUUACUGGUACGAUGCUUGCUUAAGAGCGAAGGGAUACGGCAUAUUGUCGGUGAAUUUAGAAUCCAAUGUAGCAGUAGCAAACAUGAUUAUGCACUUAAGCCAGAGAUGUUAGCAGUCAUGUCUAGGGUUGCACAGCUUCUCACUUCUGUUCCUGACAAAGCAAGAUUGCAAGCCUCAUCGGCACUUUCAUCGCAGUAUCCUUCUGAGAUAUUGUCUUGGUUCUAUAGAUGUAAUUUUAACGAUUCAAAGCUCAAUUUGGAUUCUGUUUGAUGAUUCUGGAGCUUCAUGUCAUGUAUCAUGAUUCCUUUUCAUGUUGAUACCAGGAGUGCGCUCAUUGUUGGUUCUUAAAAUUUUCACAUUAAGAUCAUAUGCUCAUUUAAUUUGCCCUUUUUUCUUUUUAUAAUGUUUUAUCAACAUCAUCUCCUCUCAGUAAAAUCAGUCAUAGAAAUCUCUUAUAUUUCCUAAUGUAGAUUACAUUUCAAGGAUACCUUUCAUUAUCAGCUAUUUUCUGUUUUUAUCCUUGAUUAGCUACUAGCUUGUUCUUCCAGCAAAUGGCUAGACAACUUCUGUGUGGAGCAGAAGAUUGUAACUUUGAAAUGUUGAACCCAAGAGAUGCCUCCGAUGCAAAUACUGUGGAUGGCUCAUUGUUAUUUAUCGGUGAAACAUUUUCAAGGAUUUGCAGGCGUGGCUCAACAGGUGAUAAAAAAAUAGUUUAAUGCUAAGUCUGGUCCUGCAAAUUAUUAUUGUUCCAGCAAAGCAACUUAUUGAAGUUAACUUACCUGACAGUAGAUAGGUUAAUUAUAGGCCAAGCAGAUGCUAAAAUUUUACUUUUAACAUUUAAUAUGAGCAAUUGAUAUAAAUUGAUCACAAAAACUUUACUUUUAACAGUUAGGUGUACCAUUGAUAGAAGAUAAAAUGAGGAAAAACCAUUAGAAGGAUAUAUGCAUGUUCAAUGGAGACCUAUAAAUUCCCUGGUGAGGUAAGAUGAAUUGAUCAAUAUUAGUGAUGAGGAAAAGUAGAGGACACAUAGGAAAAUUUUAUAUGAGCAGGAAAAGGAAACUUGACUGCUUUAUGUAACUAGGGAUAUUCACCUACCCAGAGCUUAAUGGGAAGAAAAAAUUCAUGCAAGCAAUCCCAAAUAAUUUGGAUCUGUGGCUUGUUGUUGUACCUUCUAGUAUACAAUUGUAAGAGAUCUUUAAUAAAAGAAUGAAAUGUAGUUAACCAUUAUGUUUUUCUUUGAAACUUUUUCAUUUUUACAUAUUGCUCCAUGAAUAUCAUUGGGCUGUUCCAUGUUGUGUUUCACAAUUAGAACAGUCUUCAUAUGUUACUGGGCUAUCAUCUUAAUUGUUGAUUUACAAGUUGGAUGGACCACUAAAUGUAAUGUAUGCCACGCAAUAUUGUCAGAUUUGGGAAUUUUAAGAUCUUGCUAGUGUCCUAUUUCUAUAUUGUUUUAGUCAUUAAGUUACUAUUUUUCAGAUAUUCUACUCAUAAAGGUGAUCCCUAGGAUUCUUGAUCACAUCCGAAGCUGCUUGUCAUCGAAUGCUGGUUCUGUUGCUUUUAAUAUGAUUGAAUCUAGUCCAAAAUCCCAUUUUUGGUUGUUCAUUAUGGAGGCAAUGAAAGAUCAAUAUGCCAUUGAAAGAUUUUCUGAGGAGCUACUACGGCAAUUAGCAACUCAGAAUGUAAGUGAUGUUGAAGCUUAUUGGACGCUUUGGUUGUUGUUUCAUCGGAUUGUCAAGCAAAAAACUAAUAUUAGGUGAGAUGGUGUCACCAUGUUAUCUAUGAUAGCAAGUUUGUUGCUAUUGUGUUGUUAAUAUUCUUCCUCCCAAUUGGUGCAUAUUCUGAAUGUGUUUUUGAUAUUAAAGAUUCAAAAUUCCCUAAAUCAAUAGCUACAGGAAAAGAACUUCAGCAAAAAAAAAAAAUGAUUUGAUAUCUACCGUCAAGCAAUAGUUUGUCAAACUCCUAUCUAUAAAUUAUAGGUUGCUCUUAAUGAGUAAGAUCAUGCAUGUGUAUAUGAAAUCUUGAAUCUAAAAUGCCUACUCUGGAUGAUAUAUCUUGCAUUAUUAGUUUUUGUUUUUCCCCACAGAAAUCAUUGCUUCUAUUCAAUGAUUAAUAUUGUCAUUGCUACGACUGGUUAAGUCAUUAUCUAACUAGUUGUGGUCUCAUGAUAAAACUCUGAUCUGAUACAGCAGAUACUGACUUUUCAUCUGGUUUCUUAAGUUUGACAUAUAAUCACAUAUAGCUUCAAUCUGGAGUUUAACUUUGACACACAUUUAUGAUGUUUGAUGCAUGAGUGUGUAAAAAUACAGUAUGCUUACCUUAACUGCACUUUUUAAUUAUGCUCAUUUCAGGUACAUCUUUGUUGACAAAUUUGUGUUUUGGAAAGUAUUUCCUAUCUGCUGCUUGAGAUGGAUUCUUCAGUUUUCGGUUUUUGAGUGCCCACCGAAUUUCGAUUCUGAGGCAAGAGCCCAGAGGACAUCAUCUUUUCUAGAUGUAUUGCAUCGAAUAAUUAGCAUUUGGUCCAGGCGUGAGUUUGUUCAAUCAUCUUCUAUGGAGCAGCAAGCUUGUAUCCUUCUGAGCAAUAGUUUCUUAGUUUAUUUUUCUUUUCCGUUACUCUUUUGUACUUCCUUAAGUGAAAAUCAGAUGUCACUUAUGCUGUUGCUUUAUGCAUUGAGAAAAUGUCUAAAGAGGAAUUAGAAACAACCAAAGAUAUAUUGCAUUCUAUUCUUCAAGGAGUCAGCUGUAAAUUCUUCUUCUAGAUUAAAUAAUUUUAUGUGAAUUUCUACCAAAGAUUCUAUAAUAUUUUUUUAUUAAACUUGGUUCUAAGAUUUGUAGGUAGACUGGAGAGCCCAAUUGAUUUAGUUCGGAAGAUGGCUAGCUCUGUUGCAUUGGUAUUUUCUAAAGUUGUUGAUCCAAAGAACCCUCUCUACCUUGAUGAUGAUUGUUCUGAAAUUAUUGACUGGGAAUUUGGGUUUAAAAGAAAGGAUGUGGUAACUACAGAUGAAACUAGAAAAGAUAAACUAAAUGGUACUCUGUCCAAGGAUAUGGAAAAAGAUAAACUAGAUGCUACUCUGUCCAAGGUUACAGAAAGUGCCUCUCAUGCUAAAAGGCUGAAAGAUACAAAGCAUCAUGCUGUAGAUGGUGGUAAAUUGAUUUCAGAAUGCAGGGUGAAUCAUUGUGCUGGCAUGCCAAACAAUGAACAUGCCUCUGCUGAAGAGGAUGAUGGUGAAGGCAAGAAUUCUGAUGCAUCUUCAAGUGACUCACUAGAACCAUAUGAUCUGUCGGACGGUGAUACAGAUAUGAAACUUUUCUCCCAGCUUGGUGAUAUUGCUGCAGCAUUACGGAAACCAGAUGAUCCAGAUGGUGUAAGUUGCUGUGCUUACUUUAUAUAGUCAUUGUCAGGUUAUCGUCUGUCAAAAAUUUUCACCUAUUUGAAAGUUUAGUGAAGCUAUUAAUGAAUGCCCCCGUUUGAACAUUCAUAAUGCCUUACUUAUAGGUGGAAAGAGCACUGGACAGUGCUGAAAAGCUUGUACGAGCAACACCUGAUGAGCUUCCCCAUUAUUCAGGUGAUCUUGUCAGAGCAUUAGUGCAUGUUCGUUGCUCUGAUGUAGCAGUUGAAGGAGAGGAAGAUUCUGCUGAAGGAAAAAGGCAAAAAGCACUGGUUGCGUUGCUUGUCACAUGCCCAUUUGAAUCAUUAGAUGUGUUAACCAGAUUACUAUAUUCACCAAAUGUGGAUGUUAGCCAACGGAUUCUGAUACUUGAUGUCAUGACUGAGGCAGCACAAGAGCUUUCAGAGAGUACGAUCAUUAGAAUGAAACAUCAGCAAAGGAAUUUAAUAUCAAACAUUUCAGGUCAACCAUGGUUUAUUCCUAGCAGUAGAGGACCACGUGGAGCUGGUCCUUGGAAAGAGGUUUCUGAUCCUGGAACUUCUAUCAGUUGGUCCCACCGUUAUGAAAGAGAAAUUCCUUCAAGAGCUGGUCAAAUAAAGUCAGGAAAAUCUCGUAAAUGGGGUCUUGUAAAAGCCAAGGAUCCAGAGUUGGAAUCAUCAAGAAACAGAUUUCCUCUUUAUGCUGCUGCAUUUAUGCUUCCUGUAAUGCAAGGAUUUGACAAAAAAAGGCAUGGAGUAGACCUACUCAACAGGGACUUUGUUGUCCUCGGAAAACUAAUCUACAUGCUUGGUGUAUGUAUGAAAUGCAGUAGUAUGCAUCCUGAAGCAUCAGCUUUGGCUCCUCCACUUCUUGAUAUGAUUAGAUUUAGGUAGUAGAAAUUUGAUUUUUUUUUUUUAUAUGUGAAUCUAAAGACUGAUGACCUCACAGGAGUGGUUUUAUUGAAUUUUCUUCAGGGAGUUAUCACAUCAUGCUGAAGCAUAUGUCAGAAGAUCUGUGCUUUUUGCUGCAUCAUGCAUACUGGUUGCUUUACAUCCAUCACAUGUUGCAUCUGCUUUAAUUGAAGGUAAUCAGGAAAUUUCCGAUGGACUCGAGUGGAUUCGGACAUGGGCACUUCAUAUUGCCGAAUCGGAUCCAGAUGCAGAAUGCUCAACGGUAUGUAUAUUAAAGCCCCAACCACAGAACAUGCUGUCUCCAUUUGUUAAUUUUAAAUAUGAAAAUUUUAACUUCGAAUUGAUUAUCUUUAUUUGAUAAUAGUACUCCAAGAAGCAAUUUAUAGUAAAGAAUAGUUGCAAUAUGAUUAUUUAAUUUCAAAGACAUUCAAAAUUGCUAAAUUUUAGAAUCCAUGUUGGUUUAGGAUUAAACAUUCCUUUUCUGAAGAUGCUGCAUGGUUUCCUGCACUAGUUUUUAAUCAUUUCUUUACAUUUAUAUCCUUUCCUUUUCAGGCCUCAACUCAUGAAAUUUUCUACUUGUACAUAUAGUUGCACCUGAAGUCAUUUAUGCACAUAAAUUCCCUCAUUCCUUUAACAUUUUUUAGUUUUGUUUAGCAUGAUCCAUGAGUCUUACAUGUGUCUUAUUGCUAAAAUGUGGAAAUUAAGAUAUGAAACUAUCACCAUUAUGCCAUAUAUCAUUCUAAAAGAAAAAUUCUUUGUUUGCACUUUGCCAAUAAAUCUAAAAAAUAUAAUAUGUGAUUUAUGGAUUCUCAUUGCAAGUUAGGAACAUAAGUAUUGGAUUUUGUUUUACAAGAAAUGAAUUUUAUUGCUAACAGGUUACAGAUUUUCAUCAACAUAUUCUUUGAUUUAUGAACUUGAAGCUUGGACUACAACACACCGUAAUGUAUUUUCUUUUCUGAGAAAUGAACUUUGUUCCAAACGUGUUGCAGAUCUUCAUCUAAAUGUUCUUAAGUAUAUUAACUUGAAUCUUGGAUUACAACACGAAGUAACAUAAGGUUACUUGUCUGCAUUAUUAAGACUAGUUAUAUAGAUAACUUGUUUAAUGAGAUAACAGUUCGACAACUCUAUCAAUGACAGAUCUGGUUAACUAGCCACACUAUCAAUGACCAAUCUCCAUAAUGUGAAAAAUAGCAACAUGAAUGCUCUUCUGAUUUCAUUGGAAAUAUGUAUUGAUAUUGAUACUUCGAAUCAAUAGCAAAUUUCAUCAACUAAAGAAGACAUUAUUAAAGUAACUCUUCCCCAUCAUCCAAAAUCCUCUGUGUGACAUUUAUGAAUGAAAAGUAUUGAAAGAAUUCUAGUUCAUACCUUGGUUACUGUUUUGCAGCAAAUCUGUCAAUAGAUUGGGGUGUCUUAUCAUAUAUUCUUCAGCUUAUUUGUUUAUUCAUUUUUUACCUGAUACAUCAUAUAUGUACUGUGACAACGAGUUAUCUUAAUAUGCAGAUGGCCAUGACAUGUCUUCAGCUUCAUGCUGAGAUGGCUCUCCAAACAUCCCGUGCACUUGAGUCGGCCAAGUCUGUCAAAGCACGAACAAAUACCCUACCUUUGAAGUUGGAUGAUAUUAUAAUACCAUUCUCGAACAUGAGAUAAGAAAUGAGAACAAUCUGUAGUUGGAUUUUGAUGUACUUAUGCCCUCUUUUUCUAUCAUUUGCUUGAUCUUCUUUAUCUUGCAGAAGCAACAAAUAACUUGCAUCAUCCUAUGAGGUACAGAUACAAUUAAAGGUUAUUUUAUGAACUACAUAUACUUGUUUAAUUUGUUAAUAUAAGUGAAACACACAAUUAGCUGUUUUUCUAACUCUUGUGUAGAAUAAUGGUGGUAUGCUUGGUAUGUAUCUGUCUGAGCUAAAACCAAUAUGGUAUUGGACUAGUUUCAACAUUAAACCAAUAUCUUUCUUUGACAUAUCUCAUCAGUAUCAGUUAAUACUGUUAAUAUCACUGUUCACUCCAAGCUACAAAAGUGCAUCUUAUGUUCAAUGCAUUCAACAUCUUUAGGGUCUAGUAGAAAACAGCUGGAUGAAGCUAGAUAUUAUAAUUUCUUUGAAUCAUGUUACCACUUAAUGAUACAUCCUAAUCAGAGCAUCAUGAAUUUUGAUUGGACUGUCAUACCAGUCCCAUAAUUUAAGGCUUUAUUAGCAGCAGGAGGUUGAUACUCAUUUUGUAAGGCUAUAUACUGAUUUCAUCAUUUUGUUUCUUUGACAGUAUCAAAUAGAUGCUGUAGCACUUAACAAGCGUAGGAUGCUGUGUCCAGUAUUGUUGUUUCUGCUAUCUAUGUUUGUAUGGUUGUUAUGGUCUCCACUUGUGUCACAUCUACAGGAAAUAGUAGCUGAACAGUAUAUAUAUAUAUAUAUAUAUAUAUAUAUAUAUAUAUAUAUAUAUAUAUAUAUAUAUAUAUGUUGAACAGUAUAUCGUUUGGUAUAUAGUAUGUAUCAAACGAAUAUCGAAAUAUCGGUAUAAUAUGAUAUUUCAAACUUUGUUCUAAACUAUUGUGUUGCCCGAUCUCUCACUGCAUUCCACCUGACAGGUUUUGGUUAUCCUAUGAGGUGUGUCCACUUGAGAUAAAUCCCUCUCUCAGGUAGAACUUUCAUGUUUGUCUAAUGAUGCAUGGUCUAGAAUUUGAGUGUUCCUAUCAUCUAUAUCAUUUUAUCUGGAUAUGAGAAGCUGUAGCACUAACCAAUAUCUGCACUACAGGAAAUAAUUAAGUUCUAUCUUCUGGAAGUCAUGUAUGCUUCGCGGUUCUCUCACGUCGACCGCUGUCUCAAAAUAAUUAAGUUCAAAUCAAUGGUUGUACAGCCAUAAAGCCUUUAUAUAACUCAAUAUGUGAAUCAAGCCUGCAUGGAUGCGUGAUGGAGGCCAUGCAAUGUUCCUAAUUUUUCGAGUACUAAACAACAUAUUCUAACCGGGCUUUUGAAAACACGUUCCUUCAUGUUUUUAUUAUUUAAUUAUUUGAAUUUAUUAUGUUUUUGGAACACAAUAAUUUCCUACCUUCUCAGUGAAGAAGAGCCAAAAGCACGUCUUCAUCCUUGUGUUCCUUUUCUUCUUUCUUCCAGAGACAUUGGCCUUUGUUCCAGAAACCUUACGUGCCAAGUCACACUUUAUCUUUCUUCUUUCCCAUCAGAUAAUAAUAAUAAUAAUAAUAAUAAUAAUAAUAAUAAUAAUAAUAAUAAUAAUAAUAAUAAUAAUCAAUAAAAUAAAUAAAUAAAUCUUGGGGCGUAACAUUCUCGAUGCCCACGUGACUCGAGCCCCCAACAAUCCAUGUCACGUGAUGGCAAGCUCCACUUGGACCCCAUGCGGCUUCCCGCCAUUGCGCGUUGAAACGUGGCACCAGGCUAUCCUACUUUCGAUGCCAUGUGGCGUUUUGACCGGCUCGUUAACGGUCCUCGGGCACAUCGAACCGUUAGGAGAGCCACGAAAAAGCGAUUUGCCAUCACCAGUAGUACCGGUUCGCCACGAUGUGGGACCGAGACUGCUCCCAAUCCAUGUCGCUGGGUAUUUGGGCGGGUGGAAUCGUUGCUCGUCGUAUAUUUCCAUCACCCACCUUGGCUUCCCCUAUAUAAGGACAAACCCCUGGCCUGUUUCUUGAACUCGAAUGCUCGUCUCGCCGUUCUCCUCGAUAGCAUUUCGACUUCGCUCUAGUUUCUGAUCGUGAUGGGUAAAACAGUCUUUCUCCCCUUCACAUCGUUCAUCUUGUUAGUCUUCUAUUUGGCUUGUGAUCUUAUUUGUUGGCUCGGAUUUGUAGGCAAGAUCAAGAUCGGGAUCAAUGGUGCGCUUCUCUUGCCCUCUUGUCUUCCUUGUAUCUCCUUAGAGGGAUGUUUCUUUGAAGUACCGGUGAUGAUUUUUAGGGUUUUUUUGGUUUGUAAAUGGAGCGAUGCUUUAUCGAUAUACGUUGAUUUGUAAUCUCGUAGGGUUCGGAAGGAUCGGGCGAUUGGUGGCGAGAGUGGCUCUCCAAAGCAGCGACGUGGAGCUCGUCGCUGUUAACGAUCCUUUCAUCACCACCGAUUACAUGGUAAGACGCUCCUCGCUUCUCUAUUCCGUUCUUACUUGAAGCCUUAAGGAUCCAUACAAGACAAGCUAUCUGCUAAUGGAUUGACUAUAUGUCCAAGAGUAAGCCUGACUUGUUUGCUCAGAUUCAGAAGAGACAUGUUCCGUGAACACUCGGAACCCUUGUGGUCACUUAUGGAGAAGAUGGAACUUCCUUUCUCAUCUAAGUGGCAAGAAGAAUCGACGACCAUGCCAUUAGUAGUUAAAAUUAUACAACUUCUCUAGUCAGAUCGAGUCACUUAUUUGGUGGUCCAUCUCUACAAGAACAUGGCCUCCGGUGUUGAGAUUGCCUAUUUGUUAUUCCUGACUUCACUGAUGCAGUUUAUGAUCUUUGUGUGCGCAUAAAUUCACACGUUCAGAAAAGAAAAUCCUAUCAAAUGUUCCCUCAUAUUGUUCCUCCGGUUGCAAUUUGCUGAAUACUUGGUUUGCUCAAACUUAUCGCUAGAUCUUGUGUUUUAUAGCAUCUUCCGGUUGGAUUGAGUUGCUCACUGUUUAUGACUUCGCAGACGUACAUGUUUAAGUAUGACACCGUGCAUGGUCAAUGGAAACACCACGAUGUGAAGGUUAAGGAUUCCAAGACACUUCUCUUUGGUGAAAAGGAAGUCACUGUUUUUGGACUUCGGUAGGUUGGAUUUCAGUCUUCUUUUUCCUGAUAGUGAUCAAACUCAAUACUUCAUAUCGUUUGGAGGAUACUUGAACUUACUAGAAUUGGUUCCUCAAGGAACCCUGAGGAGAUCCCAUGGGGUGAGACUGGUGCUGAGUAUGUUGUUGAGUCAACUGGAGUUUUCACUGACAAGGACAAGGCUGCUGCACAUUUGAAGGUCAUCUCUAUUAGAAUGUUUUUUCUGAUGAUAUUCUCUCAGUUGGUUUUGCUAUCAUACUGAUGGAAGUUUACACUGAUGUUUUACUUGCUUUUGUGCAUUCUUUAAUUCCAGUUCCAAUAGUGAACGUUUAUUCGACUUAAAUGUCCAAAGAAAAGAAAUUUAAUGCAAUUAAUUAGCAGUACAUAUUUUUCAUGCUAGCGUUGGAUUAUCAACCUGAAAAGUAAUUUGCAUCUAACGGAUAAGGAAGGUGGAUCAAACUUAUUUUAACUUUGCCUUGAUGUCAGAGAUGGUGUCAUGAUGGCACUUGAUGACCAAUCUAAAAUGAACAGGAAACUCGAUUCAAUUUUGCUAUUAGGUGAUGAAUCUUAGUUCAUUUAGCUAUCGCUCACAAAUUGCAACCUUAAUCUCUGUCAUGCGAAAUAUUCAUUGACUUGUGAUGGAUAUUUUACAAGCUUCAACUUACUGUUUUGAGAUUGAGAAAAUAUCUUCGCUUUACCCUUCCGUUUCUUAUCCUUAUCUGAUUGCUUUUCAUAAUCAUAGGGUGGUGCAAAGAAGGUGAUCAUUAGUGCUCCUAGCAAAGAUGCUCCCAUGUUUGUGGUGGGCGUGAACGAGCAUGAGUACAAGCCGGAUAUUGACAUAGUCUCCAAUGCCAGCUGCACCACUAACUGCCUGGCUCCCCUAGCUAAGGUCUCAUUUGCCUUCAUAUAUAGUGUACCUUAAAGAACGUGAAGCCUUUUAGAAAUAGAGCUCAUCUUAUGUAUGUCUGGAUCAUCGCAGGUUGUCCAUGAUAGAUUUGGUAUCAUUGAGGGGUUGAUGACCACAGUACACGCAAUUACUGGUAAUUUUUUUGUGAAACAUAGUAUCACUUUUGUUCUUUUUUUGUAACUCUAUUUUUAUGCUCAAUGGUUUUUUUUUGUUCUAUUUUCUUUUCCUUUGUUUUUAGCUACCCAAAAGACUGUUGAUGGACCCUCUAGCAAGGACUGGAGGGGUGGAAGGGCAGCUAGUUUUAACAUCAUACCGAGUAGCACUGGAGCUGCCAAGGUAUGCUCAUACGUUACUCUGUCAACGUUAAUCCCCUCUCAAAACAGAGUUUAGUUGUCAGUCACACCCCCAUUAGCUGGGGUCAUCUUUGUUUGAUUCUUCAAAUAUGUAUGUCUCCUAUCCUUCUGUCUUGUUUGAAUAAUGCUUAAAAAAUGUUUGAACUUCUAGUUUGAUCAUGACUUCAUACAUGACAUUCCAUAUUUCCAUAUCUGUAGUGUUUGAGCAAGUUUUGGAAACAUUAAAUGCCAUUUAAAGGCCUCAUUUCUCAUCAUAUAUAUUACGAUUUUUGAGUUGGCCUUGUUGUGUGGAGAUGAAUCAUCUGAGUAAUGUGUUGAAUGAUUAUAAAUUAUACAAGUUUUAUAGAUAUAAAUAAUAAUUUAAUGCUUUUAUUAUCCUCAAAUAUUAUGGCUUGCAUCCUGAGUUUGGAUCGGAUCGUGGAUGAAUCUUUUUUUUUAAUUUGAUUACUGAUUCAUGUCUCAUUUUUUGGUUGAUCAGUGGCUUCACUUACAGUUGUGUGUUUUCUUGAUUGUCUAGGCUGUUGGGAAAGUUCUCCCUGCUUUGAAUGGGAAACUGACGGGGAUGGCUUUCCGUGUUCCUACUGUGAAUGUCUCUGUGGUGGAUCUCACUGUUAGGAUUGAGAAGGCUGCAACAUACGAUCAGAUAAAAGCAGCGAUCAAGUAUGUAUUCUGAAUAUUUUGCUGUAGAUACCUAUUCUAAAACAUUAAAUAGUUCAAGUAUAAUGUUGUCGUAUGCAUGAUAUCAGAUUUUAGAUAUAUUCUUUCUUUAAUAGGAGUACUUGCUAUGCUCGAUCUCUUAUUCUAUUUCGUGUGGCUUAUGUACGGUGUCAGAGACCUCAGGUAUAGUAUUUUGAUGCCAGAAGACUUGGGAGGUGGUGUAAUUUGUUCUGAUGGUGGGAGUUCCUUAUAUGUAUAUCUUGCAUUAUUCUAGUCUUACUCCUCAAUCAUUAAUGAUAGGGAAGAAUCCGAGGGCAAGCUGAAAGGAAUCUUGGGUUAUGCUGAUGAGGACUUGGUUUCGAUGGACUUUGUUGGUGAUAACAGGUGCUGUCUUAUGUAUAUAUAUAUAUAUAUAUAUAUAUAUAUAUAUAUAUAUAUAUAUAUAUAUCACAAAGAAAUUAGUACAGGAACACUCGUGGUUACUGAGAGUAACUCCCUGUUGCAGCUGCUUUUUAUUCUGUUUAAUUUGAAUCGUUCAAACAGGUCGAGCAUUUUUGACGCCAAAGCUGGGAUUUCUUUGAAUGAACAUUUUGUUAAGCUCGUGGCUUGGUACGAUAACGAAUGGGGUUACAGGUACUUUAAAAGUUUGUGUAUCUUAGGUAUUUGGUGGACUUCUCCUCUUACUGUCUUUUAAAUUAUUAUUAUUUCUUUUUUGAAUUUUACAGCUCGCGUGUGGUCGAUCUGAUUCGUCACAUGGCUACCACCAAGUGAAAUUUAGUUGCUUAACCCACUAUCUGCUGGUGUCGACUUGUUUGUGGUUUAUGUUUUCUUUAAAAUAAUUACCGUGUGAUUGGACUCGGGAUGGUUGUGUGACGCGACUGAUCUUUGUCUUAGUCGAGACUCGCGUGGAUCGAAUCUGGAGGAUCGUUUUUUCUACUGGUUGUGAUUGGUAUAGCCGGAAUCACCAGGCUUCUUGCACCAUGUUUUAGCUUCUGGUAAUUAGCUGCUACUGUUUCUUUAGACUGAGGUGAUGGUGAUUAGCCUUGCGGUCGAGAACUUGUGCUCGGUCUGUGGGCUAGUGUUUUCUAACAAUUUUACAUGUUUCCAAGUUGUGUUUUCAGUUCACUCAUGGUCUCUAUUUUCUACAGUUCAUAUGAAGUUUUAUUAAGAUUUUAUUAAGCCUUUGAACCGAGUAGAGUUCUUUUUUUUUUUUUUUGACAAAUGUUUGCCAAACACAAUGCAGAAAGAAGAACAGAGUCGUUAAAUCUCUCUUAACAUUCUGUAGUAAAGAUCCUCAGAGUACAAGAUAUUUCUCUGCGAAACCAUUUCUCUUAAAUCUCUCCGAAACCAUCAUCAUUCUUCUCCUUCCCGUGUCAAUAGGAUAAUCAUUCUUCUCCUUCCCGUGUCAAUAGGAUAAAGAUACAAGGCUAGCUCCGUUGGUGAUCAACCACAACAAUAUCCUGCAAUCAGGGCUGAUGGUAACAGAGAUUAACGUGUCAUAACAUGCAAUAUGUCGACUGAAAGUCAUCCAUAUUUCUUCCAAUCUGUAGAUACAAAGCCUACAAGUCCAGUUGAAGUACUUGUAAAAAGUUUAGUGCCUAUCCAAUAAGAACUAUCAAACAAUAUUGGAACCAAAGACUUCCGUUAGUUAAGCCAGUAUUACCUCUAUUAAGAUUAUCUUAUAAAAUUAAGAAACCAAGAUCCAGAAAACUUACAUCAAAUCUUUCACCAAAGAAUGUAGUAGAAUAUGAAGCAAGUAGAAUUUGCACGGAAAGCCAAAAUUUUACCUGUAGAUUUCCAGCGAGGACUACUGGCUUCGAAGAGUCAUACAUCCCAAAGUAAAGACCACGAUAGACCAUAAUCCCAACGCAUGAAAUAUUAAAUCCUUUCUAAAGUCCAGCAAUGCCAAACCCAACUGCAGGGUCUUCCGGUAAACAUCACCAAGACCACUGAAUUGCCGUUCCCCGCCCUUCUUCGCUGCCUUUGCAUCAUUUGCCAAAUGCGUACGAGCAUAGUCCACAGAGUACACGAAAACCACUGAACGAGCACCAGCAGCACCACCUGAAGCUAGAUUGCCAGCAAACCAUUUCCAGUGUCCAUCUUUGUCUUUCUUAAAAUUAAACAUCCUUUUGAAGGAAUCCUUCAAGGUAAAGUUCAGAGCCUGGAAGCGAUAAACUCAGUUUAUCAGUAAGUGGAGCUGAAGGGGGGAAAAAGCACAAUAAGCAAAACGGUAAGAAGGGCAAUUGGUAUUCCAGAAAGUGAAACUAUAAAUCAAACUAUAAAUAAUGCCAUUUGUUUCAUAUAUAUAAAGUGACUGCAAAAAUUGUACAUUCUUUUUUGUACAAAUUAUCAUAAAACAUGAUAACUAUGGGUAAAUUGAACCAACUGGUGACUGGUUAAUUUAACCGACUGAUGCUCCAUUUCCACAUUGUAACAACUGCUUGUAGAGAACAGAAAUCAUUCCAAUAAGUAGGUCAUGCAUCAAAAGCCAAGACCAAGCAGCAUGAAGUUUGAUGGUCACACAGAUUCCGCAAUUUUAGUUACCACCACUAUGCUGACAAACUAGAUUACAGAUCAAUAUCUGAGACUAUAACACUGAAAUCACUGUUUGAUGAUGGCUUAUCUAUGUUCGCAACAUAAGUUUUGAUAUUUAGACAAAACAUGAUCUAUAGUACAAGAAUGUCAUUAACGAAGAAAAACAUAUAAUGACACAGUAAGAAGAGUUUCUGAGCAAAAGAACAAUAUCAAAGUAGUUAAAAGACCAUGAAAACCAAGCCAAAUCCAGCCUGUUAACUACCAGACAUUUAAAGAAGCAGGUGCAAACUGAAACUUGACGAUCCAACACGCCUUCAUGGUGAUUUUUGUAUGAAGAAAUUCUGGGAUUAAAUUGAAUAAAUGUGUAACACAAACACAUAUAAGUUUACCUGAGCGGCAAAAUAACGAAUGACAUUAGCUGUGUUCCCUCUCCAUAGAGACAAAGCACCUUCAUCCUUAAUCGUUCAGGCAAAGCUGUCUCUCAUACAAAGAUGGCUACACAGGCUGCAGUUCAAAGCUUGUGGACCUCGAGAAAAUCUGGACCCGAGGGGGAAUGGGCUGGCAACUUUCUGCAUUACGAUUGGGUGAUUAACUUGAUCAGCCAUGGCAUGCCGAUAAAAUGACCUACAAAACAACCACUUUGAAGUUCUGCAGAAGAUAUUCUGAGAUUCAAGCAACAUUACUAAGAUAAAUUAUAACAUAUGGUCACUGCCAUAUUAACUCAAAGCAUGAGCAAUUACCAAGUCGUAGUAUUCCUUCAAAGAAUUAACAUGUCUACAGAUGUGGUGAGGUAGGAAAAAGUCAAAUGAACAAACAAUUUGCAUUACAGGACAUACAAAAUGUAAUAGCAUGAACAAAAUAGAAGGAAUAAAUCAUCAUAAAAGCAAACUCUAUUGUUAGUUCCAACUGAACUGCCAUGAUCACGGAACACAAAGUCUAAUUACUAGUUGAUCAUUAAACAACAAAACUUUGCUCCAACUACUGCUACAGCUCUGUUAUCUUUGUAUUCUUAAAAAAUCAAUGGGUCAAUGAAGAUGCAGCUGGCAGAUUUUGCGUUGGCUUCAUGCAUCUCUAUUAAUUUAUAACUCAUAGAUGAAAAGGUGGAUAUUCUUUAGAGAUCUGAGCAAAUGAAGCCAAAACUGCAAUCACGAAUACCCAACAGGCACCCUUGACAAGGUAAUAUGGGUAAUAUCAUCCCCAACAAUCUCAACUAUGUAUUAUAAAUUUAGCCACAUAAAAACCGCAAGUUAUAAAUCAAAAUAGGUAUCGUGAUGAGAUGAGAAGCUACAAGCUGCAAGAUCUAAAACCUCCAAGUCACCCUGAGAGGUCAACCACCUCGAAAGCUAUCGAGGACGGAAUUUGCCAACAAGGAUUACAGCAAAAGAGAGCAGAUGGGAUUCGUACACGAAAUCAAGUAUAUAGAACAAAAUCACCCUUAAAACCAUUGCAGAUCUACCUGAUCUAACAGUUUGCAGGACAACCAAAUCAACAGUCAUACCCACCAUAUCCAUGUCUUAAAACAAGAUUCCCAACCCUAAAUCGAUCGAAGUAUGAACGAGAAAAUGGAAAGCGCGACAACGAUAUGGAGAAAGAAAUAGAUAUCUACCAAACGGAUAGCUUAAUCAAAGAUACCACCGAUCCGAAACUUAGUAGAGAGCACACUUCUAAAUAUCUUCAAAAAGACUCGAAAAUAGAAAGAUGGAAGACAAGAAUCGAUCGAUCCACUCAGAUACACGAUCAGCAAUCACAUAAACGACAAGGCCUUUAAAAUAGAUUCAUAUUCUUAGAAAUCAAGAAAGAGUUCAUAUGGAAGUAGGGUUUUACCCUUCCGAAGCGUCUCCCUCUUGUCUCGGAGACAAGGCGAGAUGCGUUGGAAACGCAACGACGAGACCGAGAGAGGGAGUGGAGCGGUUAAGCCACUCCUGUGCUGUAUCAAAGGGCUUUCUGUUAACGUGCAAACCAUCGUCAGCGGGACUUGAUAUAUUGACCGUUGGAUCUCAUCAAAGUACCGACGAGCAAUAUGAUGAGCGGCGGAGCUUGAUUCUUUGUAAUUUGGACCAUAUAUUUCGAAGGUGCACGUGGCGGAGUAAAAAAAAAAAUACAACCAAGUCAUGCUUGUUGACCCGUUCGUAUACCGACUACUGUGUACCUCCUAUACGCAGGUGGGACCCGAUCAGUGAAGGAAGGCGGCAGUGACGACAUUCAAAAAGGUCGUCGGAGGCAUACUUCCACCUGCGUGCCGGCCACGUGACCGAACGCCGCUACCUACUGAACCGUGGCGAAUCUCUAUCGCAAUCGAGGCGAACCGGCGGAAACGGCUUUACUGGAGAGGAGAGAGAGAGAGAGAGAGAUCAGAAAUGAGAAUAAUAAUAAUAAAUAUUUCGAAUAUCAAUUUUCUUUUACUCAAAAGAUUAUUUAAAUCAAGAAAAGCUUAAAAAAGUGCCUCUCAAGACCAAAAUAGGGCAGAAUACAAAACUCAAGAUAAUUUUUUUUUCAAAAAAAUAGCACGGUAAAAAUAGUAUGAGUAAUAGAUUUGAGAUUUAAAUCUAACCUCAUGUACGUUAUUUAAUAUAAUAAAAAUAAAUGUACAUGCGCAAAAUAUGAAUAUUUAUAAUAUUAACCACACAUCACCAAAAACCUCAUGCCACAACUGGAACAGGUCAACAACGUUGGCCAAACGACCGAUUCCCACGCACGUAAAACGCUCCUCGCAACCGCCAAGCUUUGAGGUAGCAUCUCCGACUAUCCAUCCCGGCAACUGAAACACGCUAUAAAACCCUCCUUCCCAUCCCACAUUCCUCCUCAGGCCUGCACAGGAGGAGAAACAAGCCACCCCAAAUAAGUUUCUCUUUCUCUCUCGCUACCAUCUCUGCCGUAGCUCCAAGGCCACCGUCGUCAGCAAUGGAGAUGGGAAAGAUCGCCUGUGCCAUCCUCGUUGCCGCCGCGUCGGCCACCACCGCCCUUGCAGCCGAGGCCCCGGCUCCCGGCCCCGCCAGCGCCUCCUUCGCGGUCACCCCCGCUUUUGGAGCCGCCGUCGGGGCCGCCGUCCUCUCCUUCUUCGCCUUCUACUUGCAGUAGCCUCAAUGAGCGAGAGAGAGAGAGAGGGAAAGAAAGAAGGCAGCCCUAUAUGGGGAACGAAUGACACGACUGUUCUCUUUGUUUGUGAUCUAUUUCAACGUUGCAUCGUCCUUUGACUACCAUCGUUGUUGCCAUCUUUCUAUUAUGGAAUUAAUUUCCGAUUGAAAUGAAUGCACCAUAACAUUUGCAAUCACUUUGUUACCAAAGCUAUUGUUAAUUCGAAUUAGGGAGCUAAUCCGACAUGAAUCUUCCAUUGUUAUCAUAGCCAUCAGAGUCAAAGCAAGUUGCAUCACCAAACUCCUAAACGGACGACACCAUCACAUGAUGCAUAAGCUUGGCAGUGCAACAAUCAAAAGAAAACUAAGCACGUCGCCAUCGUAAUAUACACCCAACGUGAUGCAAAAGACUCUUCGAGGAGUAAUUAUUGAGUUUAAAUUUCC
RNAcentral lists this long non-coding RNA (35753 nucleotides) under Musa acuminata (dwarf banana). RNAcentral's name for it is "long non-coding RNA (MACU_LNC004973)". Lineage: Eukaryota; Viridiplantae; Streptophyta; Magnoliopsida; Zingiberales; Musaceae. The record is from RNAcentral.